CGGGUGGUAAUGCCGGAUGUUCCACAUGAUCGCAUGUGAUUGUGGGAAAGAUUCUAUCGGCGUGGGAUGGGGUCGCGUCCUAUCAGCUUGUUGGUGAGGUAACGGCUCACCAAGGCUUCGACGGGUAGCCGGCCUGAGAGGGCGACCGGCCACAUUGGGACUGAGAUACGGCCCAGACUCCUACGGGAGGCAGCAGUGGGGAAUAUUGCACAAUGGGCGCAAGCCUGAUGCAGCGACGCCGCGUGAGGGAUGGAGGCCUUCGGGUUGUAAACCUCUUUUGUUUGGGAGCAAGCCUUCGGGUGAGUGUACCUUUCGAAUAAGCGCCGGCUAACUACGUGCCAGCAGCCGCGGUAAUACGUAGGGCGCAAGCGUUAUCCGGAUUUAUUGGGCGUAAAGGGCUCGUAGGCGGCUCGUCGCGUCCGGUGUGAAAGUCCAUCGCUUAACGGUGGAUCUGCGCCGGGUACGGGCGGGCUGGAGUGCGGUAGGGGAGACUGGAAUUCCCGGUGUAACGGUGGAAUGUGUAGAUAUCGGAAAAAAAAC
RNAcentral lists this ribosomal RNA (540 nucleotides) under Bifidobacterium bifidum. RNAcentral's name for it is "bacterial SSU rRNA". It matches the Rfam family "Bacterial small subunit ribosomal RNA", at positions 157 to 709 of the family's 1533-position model. The record is from RNAcentral. Lineage: Bacteria; Bacillati; Actinomycetota; Actinomycetes; Bifidobacteriales; Bifidobacteriaceae.